RNAcentral lists this long non-coding RNA (4711 nucleotides) under Homo sapiens (human). The record is from RNAcentral. Lineage: Eukaryota; Metazoa; Chordata; Mammalia; Primates; Hominidae.
UGUCAGAUCAUUUCAAGCUCUUCUGUGUCGAGCUGAGGAGCUGCUCUGUGCCCGGCUUACAGAACUGGAAGGGGGAGCCACCUUCCGCCUGAUGGAGGCUGGAGAACGGAUGGAACCUGGAUCCCUGGAGCCUGGGACACUACCUCGCUGCGGUUGGUGGUGGCCACAGACCAGUAGGAGGGCGGCUGGCAGCGGGAGCUUCUUCUGCCGGGCUGGAGGACUAGGAGAAGGGAGAGGGAACGCCACAUGCUGGAGGCUGGAGCCUGUGCCACCGUGGCUCACCUCGAUGUGGUUGGUGGCAGCUCGCCUUGCUGUGGUUGGUGGUGACGUCGGAGACUGCAGCUCGGCCACAGUGGUAGAAAUGUGUUGGGCUUUUGCUGUGUUGGGCACUUGCUCCCAUCUGCUUGCUUCUCUAGAAUCCACUGCCCUAGAAUGAGUAAUUUUUCUUAGAAGCAGAGUUGGAACCACUGAGGAAGCACAGUCAUCUGAUUCAUCCUGGUAGCAAUUCCAUUCUGCAUCUCUUCUGGACACCCACAGGACCACCAGAACAACCCCAUCAUGGCCCUGUCACCAGGCCCAGUUUGGCUCCAUGAUAACCAAGACGCAGGUCCAGAGACAACCGCCCUGCUUGAUGCCUGCAUCUGACCUCCCUUGGUGGGUAGUGAUGAGCACAACAUGGAAGAAGCCAGGGCAGCUUGUGGCCAGCUGCCCUACAGCCCCAGAUGGCUGGGGACUAGGAUUCCAAAAGGAUGAUUUUGGAGCUGUAGGAUUGAAUGACUGGCCUGCUGGGUUUUGGAUGUUCGUGUAUCCUAUGAGUCCCAUCGGUGUUUGUUUUUCUUUCAGGCAAUUUUUCUUCUAUUGGCUGGGAAUGCUUACCCAUUGCCUGUACAAUCAUUGUACCUUGGAAGUAGUUAACUUGCUUUAUAAUUCAGAGGCUCAUGGGCAGAAGGGACUGUAUCCUUGUCCCAGAUAAAACUUUGGGCUUUGGACAUUUGCUGGAAUGAGUUAAGAUUUGGGGGACUGUAGGGAAGUCAUCAUUGUAUUUUGCAACGUGAGAAAGACAUACGAGAUUUGCAUGGGCAGGGACAGAAUAAUAUGACUUGGCUCUGUGUCCCACUGCUGUGAAAUUGUAACGGGAAAUGUUAAAGGUGGUGGGGGCUGGUGGAAGGUGAUUUAAUCAUGGUGGAGAGUGGAGGUUGGAAGGUGGGGGUGGUGGGGAGAAUUGGGGGGAAUUAUGGUGGGGUUGGGGGUGAAAGGCAGGGGUGGGGGUGAUCCUUCACAAGUAAUUAAACACCAUCUCCUUAAUGCUGUCCUUCUGAUAGUUCUCUUCAUAAUUUCGUAGCUGUGAGAUUGAAUACUGGUCUGCUGGGUUUUGGAUGUGCAUUGGGCCUGUGGUCCCAUUUGUGUUAUUUUUCUGGGAAAUUUCUUCCCUUUGGAUUAAGAAAGCUUACCCAAUGCCUGUACCAUCAUUGUACCUUGAAAGAAAAGAACUCCAUUUUAACUUCAGGGACUCAUAGGUAGAAGAUACUGUAUAGCCUUGUCUCGGAUGAGACUUUGAACUUCUUAUAGUUGAGUUGAUGCUGGAAUGAGUUAAGGCUUUUGGAAACUUUUGAAAAGGCAUGAUUGUGUUUUACCCUGUGAGAAGGACAUGAGAUUCGGAAGGGUCAAGGUCGGAAUAAUAUGGUUUGGCUGUGUUUUGCUAGAAAAACUCAUGUGGAAUUGUAAUCCCGAAUUUUGGUUGUGAAGCCUGGUGGGAGGGUGGUGGGUAGUAGGAAGGGGGAGUAGCCUGCUGCACAGGUAGAGGCUCAUGGAAAACCUCUACUAGGGCAGUGCACCUGUGGCUUUGCUGCUCUCAUGGCUGGGCUGGUGUUGAGUGCCUGUAGCUUUUCCAUGCAGAGGGUGGGAGCUGUUGGUGGGUCUAUGACUGGGGUCUGGAGGAUGAUGGUAUCCUGUGUGGGAGCUCCAAGCCCAUAUUUUCCUUCCGCACUUCCCUAGGAGAGGUUUUCCCAGAGGCUCUGCCUCUGCAUCAGGCUUCUGCCUGGAAACAGUGGGAGUUGGGGGUGGGGGGCGAAUCCUUCAUCAAUGGUUAAGCACCAUCUUUUUGAUGCUGAGCUUGUGAUAGUGAGUUCCCAUGAGAUCUGGUUGUAUAAUAGGGUGUGGCACCUCUUUCCUCUCUCUGUCUUGCUCCUACUCCUGCCACAUGAAUCAUCUCAUUGCCCCUUGACAUUCUGAUAUGACUGGGUGGCUUCCUGAGUCCUCCCAGAUUCAGAAGCCACUAUGUUUCCUUACAGCCUGCAGAAUCAUGAGAUUCUUUAUGAUCAUAGAGAAAAUUAGUACUGGAAAGUGGAUGUAUGAAAUGUCUUCAAGGCCUUUUCCCUGUUGUCUUGGCAAUCAGCACUCAGCUUCUUUUCAUUCAAGUAUCUGAAGCCUUGAAUUUUCCCCCUGAAAAUGGACUUGCCUUCCUUUACCACAUUGCCAGGCUGUGACAAAGAUAGGUGAUAAAGUAGAAGCAGGUUCAGAAGGGGGUAGCAGACAGAGGUUGGGAGAGUUUGAAGGGCUUUGAAGACAGGAAAAUGAGGAAAAGUUUGGAUCUUUGUAGAGAAUUGUUAAAUACUUGUGAUCAGAAGGCUGACAGGAAAAUGGUCAGUGAAAGCCAGACUUAGAAGGUCUCAGAUAAAAAUGAGGAACUUAUUGGGAACAGAAGCCAAGGUUACCUUUGUUUUGCUGUAGCAAGGAAUGUGGUGGCACGGUGACCCUGCCCUGGAGAUCUGUGAAACUUUAAACUUGAGGGUGAUGACUUAGUACAUAUUUGGUGGAAUGAACUUCUAGGAAGCAAAGCUCAAGAGGUGUCCUGUCUGCAUUGAACAGCCUGUGCUCUGAUGUGUGACUGAGGAAAUGACCUCUGGAUGGGACUUCCAUUAAACAAGUCCCAACUCUUACAUUAAAUAAGAAACAGAACUCAGAAGUUUGGAAAAUUUGCAGCCUGGCCAAGUGGUCAAAAAGAAAAUCUGAUUUUCAGGGAGAAAAUUCAGGAAGGCUUCAGAAAUUUGCAUAAAAAGGAGCCCAGUGCUAAUAGCCAAGACAAUAGGGAAGAGGCCUUGAAGGCAUUUCAUAGAACUUUGCAGCAGCCCUUCCUGUCACAGGCCCUGGGGCCUAGGAGAGAAGAAUGGUUUCCUGGGCCAGUCCCAUGACCCCCCUCUAUGUGCAGCCUCAGGGCACUGCUGCCUGCAUCCCUGCAGCUCCAGCUCCAGCCAUGGCUGAAAAUGCACAGAUGCAGCUUGGGUCACUGCUUCAGAGAGUGCAGGCUAGAAGCCUUGGUAACUUCCUCAUAUUGGUAAGCCACUGGGUGGACGGAUCUUGAGACUAGAGGCUUGGAAGCCUCUCUGUAGACUUUGGAAGAUGUAUGGAAAUGCCUGGGUGACCAGAAAAAAGCAUCCCAAAAAGGCAGAGCCUCAUAAGAAACCUCUACUAGGGCAGUGCAGAAGGAAAAUACGGGGUUGGAGCCCCCACACUGGAGGCCACCAUCAUGCAGACCCCAGAUUCGUAGACCGACCGAUAGCUUGUACCAUCAGUCGGGAAAAACUACAGGCACUCAACACCCGCCCAGCCCAUGAGUGCAGCCGUGGGGCAUAAACCCUGCAAAACCAAAGGUGCAGAGCAGCCCAGGGCCUUCAGAGCCCAGCCCUCACGUCCCUGUGCCCUGGAUGUGGGACAAGGUUUCAGAAAGGAUGAUUUCGGAACUGUAGGAUUGAAUGACUAGCCUUCUGGGUUUGGAGUUUCAUGGGGCCUGUAAGUCCUGUGUUUUGUUCUUUCUGGCAGAAUUCUUCCUUUCGGCUGAGAAUGCUUACGUAACAUUGCCUGCACAAGCAUUGUACCUUGGAAGUAGUUAACUUGCUUUAUUGUUCAGAGGCUCAUGCACCUAAGGGACUGUAGCCUUGUGUCAGAUGAGACUUUAAGCUUUGGACAUUUGUACAAAUGCUGGAAUGAUAUAAGAUUUGGAGGGGCUGUAGAGAAGGCAUCAUUGUAUUUUGCAAUGUGAGAAGGACAUGAGAUUUGGGAGCCAGGGACAGAAUAAUAAAGUUAAAGGUGGGGCCUGGUGGAGGGUGAUUUAAUCAUGGUGGAGAGGGGGGGUUGGAAGGUGGGGGUAGGGAGAAUGAGGGGAUUAUGGUGGGGGUGAGGGGUGAAAAGUGGUGGUCGGGGGUGGAUCCUUCACAAAUGAUUAAACACCACCUCCUUAUUGCUGUGCUUAUGAUAGUGAGUUUUCUUCAUGAUUUUGGAGCUGUGAGAUUGAAUGGAUACUGGCCUCCUGGGUUUUGGACUUGCAUUGGGCCUGUGGUCCUAUUUGUGUUUUUUUCCUGGGAAAUUUCUUCCCUUUCGAUUGAGAAAGCUUAUCCAGUGCCUUUACCAUCAUUGUACCCUGAAAGAAAAGAACAUCCUUUUAAAUUCAGGGACUCAUAGGCAAAAGGGACUGUAGACUUGUCUCAGAUGAGAUGUUGAACUUUUUACUUUUGAGUUAAUGCUGGAAUGAGUUAAGACAUUUGGAAGGAAACUUUUGAAAAGGCAUGAAUGUAUUUUGCUCUGUGAGAAGGACAUGAGAUUCUGGGGUAUCAGGGUCAGAAUAAUAUGGUUUGGCUGUGUUUAUUUACAAAACUCAUGUGAAUUGUACUUCUUAAUGUUGGAGGUGGGACCUGGUGGGAGGUGAUUUAAUCAU